CUGGCAUUCGUAUCAUCAAUGAAAGGAAGGAGGUGGUAGAGGAAAGAGGGGUUGGUCUCGAUCUCAAGUCUGAGAUGGUUCCACUCGAAAUCCUUUGAGUAGUAAUUUGCUGCUGCUUCUUGGCUCAUUCUUACAAUAGUGAUAGCAGUAUAUUUCCCUUUCUUUUCUUUUGUUGUCUUUUUUUUUUUUUUUUUUUUGUUUAAGAAAUGCUGAUUUCACUAUAAGAUUCCGGCGGCUGAAGGAGGAGGAGAAAGACGAGUUGGCUGUCGAUUCGAAAAGCGCUCCAUGGUUUUUGGGUUUCUUAAGCUGUAGACAGGACGAUGUCGUUUACACUAAGGUCGAGGUUGACGUCUGUUUGUGCUUAAUAAUUCCAUAAAAAUCAACAAAUUUGGGCAUCACAAUUUGCAAAAGUUUCUGGAACGACGCUCCUUAGUCCAUGCUAUGAUACUGCUACAAAAUUGCAUAACGGGUUUGUUGGCUUGCAAAAAUUUCCGUCAUGUAUUUAAAUUUGGUCCAAUAAAUUAGUAUUCAUAGAUUUGCAAAAAAACCAUGAAAUGCUUCUUUAUUUUUAGAGAUUUUAAAAUCUAUAUGCAAAAGCAAACAAUUUUAGCAAAAAUGGACUUGUGAAAAAAAAUAGACGAGAACAUUUAUAAAAUAUUUUGUAUAUCCAAAUUUAGAAUCUAAGAUACGGUAAAACAAUCAAAUUUAAGAAUAGGACCUUAGCAUGCAUAAAACUAAUCUGUGUAUAUAUAUAUAUAUAUAUAUAUGAAAGUAACUAUUUUAAUUAGUAUUUUUUUCACUUCUACAUUAUAUGCCUACUUAGAGAGAAUUAACGGGUUAUUCAUCACUUAGGUUUUACCUAUAUUUAAUCCUAUUUGGAUUAUAUUAUAUGUUUAAAAAUUAUCUCUAAUUUUAAAAUAACUUUAAAAAGUAAAUAAUCUUAUCAUAAUAAUAUCUGCUUUCUAUCAAAUUAUUACGUAGAACUAUAAUAAAAUCUUUUUCAAAUAACAAUUACUAAAAUCUUACAUAUCCCAUAAAUUAUUUUCUUUCAUCACCGGUUCGUUGAUUAUUGAUUAGUAUUCAAAUUAUUGAUUGUCUCUUUCCCUUAAUUUUGAAUUAAUUUACUGCAAAAAAAAGAAUUAACUGUAGCACUGACAAAUUUUGUCAAUAUUGUUGAAAAUUGAAUAGCUAUCUUGUGCCUAUCUCUAAUUUGGCAUUAUAUUAAGCCGCAACCAAUGGUGACAUGCGGUGUUGUAAUUGGGUUAACAUUUCAAAAUUACAUUCAGGCCCAAUCUUAUCGGCCCAGCCAGUACUAAUACGAAUCAUGCACAAUAAUUAAUACUGAUUUUUGUCCCAUAGAAUCAAUUGGUACAGCCAUUGAUAAUUGACCGUAAGGUCCCUGCAACCUUUUGCAGUAUCUUCCAUACCGGCCUCUGCAUUUAGACGUCAUGAGCUGCUUUUGUGAUUUUAAUGCUUCAGCGAAACUAGAAUGGGCGCUGAGACAAGAUUCUGUGUUUUGCAGAGGCCAUUAGUACCAUAAACCAAAAAUGCAAAUGUACGAACAUUUUAAUCCAAUGUAGAAGGAAACCAAGAAAAAAACACAAAGGAAAUGUUGCCCAGCUCAUUUUUUGAGCAAAGAAGUUUUAUCUAAUCAGACUUGAUCAUUGUUCUCCCGAAGCGUUACAUAUAUCAAGAAUUUCUCUGAGCUGACAGUGAAUAGAAUCAUGUAUCACAAACAUUUGCUUCAAAGGUCCUCACAGGAACCUAGAUCAUGAGCAAGCUGUGUAAGCUGCACUUGCAUAUUCUUCAAUUAGUCCACAACCUUUCCUUCCAUUUACAAACAUGACGGUUGUUCAUGUCUCACUUUAUUGAUGGAUGUCAACCAUCGUUGAUGCAAGGGCACUCAAAUGUAAUCCAGCCAAUAAUGUUCUCCCAUUGGUAAUUUAUAACUAAAUGGUUAGCAAAAUUCUAAUAGAAUGUUGGCCUAUAGAAUGUGUAAAUGCUAAGAUCUCUAAAUAUGGUUUCUUGAAUUAGUCCAGAGUGAACUAACCGAUGCAUCAUCUCUUUUGUCAUCUGAUGAUCUCUCAAAAACCAUCACCUGCUCGUUGCAGAACUCUUCGAAGCUCAUCAGCCAUUACUUGUAGAAGAACAGGUUUUCUAACAAGACCAUUCAUUCCCGCCUGCAGGCACCUUUCCAACAAAUGAUCCUCCGCACUUGCGGACAAGGCUAUAAUUAAUGGCCAGUUACGACUCCGAAACUUUCGUAUUCUUCUUGCCACUUCAAAGCCAUCUAUUUCAGGCAUGUGAAGAUCCAAAACUACAACUUGGAAUGUUGCUGCUGAGGGGCCUAGUGCGCUCAGGCACUGGAAACCAGAUGAAACUGCGGUAACUUGGCAACCUAGCUUCUCAAGCAGCUUUUUUGUCACCAUUCUAUUUAUAUCAUCAUCAUCAGCAAGAAUAACUUGAAGGCCUCUGAACAUUAAGCUAGAAAUUGGUUGCUCCAAUGGAUUUCCGAGCUCAAAUACAUGUCUUCUAAAAGAAGAUUGUUUCUGAAAUCUGAGAAUAAGAGUCAUGCUUCGUGCUUGGCCCCGAGAAUCAGAGGACAUCCAGAUAUUACCUUGCAUCAUCUGCAGAUGUUAAACCAGGAAUCAAUAUGAUGUCAAAAAACAAUUGUUGACAAGGAUGCCCAAACUAGACGAAGGAUUUAGACAAGGAUUCUGUCCUCCAAAGUGAUUGAUAGAAGACAUGAUUGGCCAAAACAAGUUUGGACAGCAAGUUUUAUACUCAUUCAGGAACAGAGAAACAUAGAUUGAGAUUAUUAUCCAAUGGACAUAAUCAGAAGUAAAAAUACAGAAAAUAAACCAAUAACGAAUAAGAUGCCAAAGAACAAUUCUUGAAAAGUACACCUAAACUAGAUGAAGGGUUGUGUCCUCCAAAGAAAUGUAUAGAAGACAUGAUUGGCCACAAUAGGUUUGGACAGCAAGUUUAAUGCUCAUUCAGGAAGAAAGAAACACAGGAUUUAGAUUAUUCCCCAAAGGACAUAAUCAGAAGUAAAAAUAAGGAAAAUAAACCAAUAACAAAUAAGAGGGGAAACUUUUGUAAGCUUAAAAAAAGCAUAAAUUAGCAGCUCCCAAAUGAAGGGCAGAACCUUUUAAACUUUGAAAAUGUUGUACAUCUAGAUUCUUGUACUAAACUGAAUAUAAGAAGUUUUAUCUUGCAACUAUGGAGUACGACAAACUUCUUUUGAUGAAAUACGUUUUCGCACUAAAAAAUGAUUUACAAACUAUCCCGCUUAGACUUUAAAGACGCUAGAAACUGAGUAUCUUAGCCUUUUCUAGGUAUUGACUGAAUACAAGAAGUGAUAUCUUGCAACUAUGGAGUACGACAAACUUCUUUUGAUGAAAUACGUCACAAAUUAUACCGCAUAGGCAUAGCUAAAAUGCCACCUCAGGUCCUCAAGUACCAUCAUGCUGGCCUUGAGCAAUCAGAGAAGAGUGCGUCAAAUUCAUGCACUGAAAGUAAAACAAGCCCAAAAAGUGUUUAUAAGUGCUUUAUAGCUAUUAUCCCAGAUAUCAAGCAUUUCACACUAAAAAAAUGAUUUACAAACUAUCCCACUCAGACUUUAAAGAUGCUAGAAACUGUGUAUCUUAGCCUUUUCUAGGUAUUGAAUACAUUGAUCACUAAACCAGCUCCAAAGGUUAGCAAGUAGCAGAAGUGGAUGAGCACCGGGAUGUUUGCGGUUAUAUAAAAUCCAAUUGCUAAAAAAAGGGCCAGUAUGAGAAUACCACAAGAGAAUUGAAAUCAUCCAGCUGAUGGAUUACAUGGACUUGCCAUGUUGCCAACAUUUACAAUCAGAAAAAUGCACCGCCAGGGCAAAUUGCUCAAGGUAAGCUAUAGAAGUUUGAAACAUGCCUCCAGAGGAAACACUUAGCAGCCAAGUAGCCUUUGUAGGUGGCUGAUCAACAGCAAUGCAUUGGGUAUUUUCUGAUUCCGCCAUCUCAUGGAGUUGGACUUCUUGGUGCAUUAAAUUUCAUCUUUGGUGAGGGACCAUUACACUUGGGACACGUCAAAAAAGUAACCAGCAUCAAAUUUUAUCUUUGGUUUUUCUAAGUAGCCGCACUAUUUCAAGUACUAUUAGCAACUUCUUGUAAUAUGCUUGUUGAAUAACAAUAGACCCCAAAACUUUCUCCUCUUCUUUGCAACUUUGACGGAUGGCUUUUAAGUCCUUGAUGUGAACCUAGAGUAUCUGACUAUAACUUAAACCAGGUGCUACAGCCCCAAAUGCCAUAUGCUUCAAAAAUAAGCAUAUUAAACCUAUCUCACAAGGAAUUUUAAUAAGUUCAACGGCAUUGAUGUCUUGAGGAAAAUUGAUCGUGUUAUUGGUAGGAGAAUGCACCCCCAAAACAAAUUCUCUUUUUGAUUGAGAAUGCCAGCACUUUGUACUGCACCCAAAUGUCCCAAUAAAGUUAUCCAACAUCUUAUUUGACAGCGUUUAAAUUUAUGAAACAAUUUGUACAUGUGAUAAAAUGAACAGCAUAGCAUGCAGUUAUAUAGCCAUGACACGUAUAUCUACUAUCCAACAAAUUAGGCACCAGGAAUACUUUAUGAGCUCGUAAGAUGCUAAUGUGACAAAAUUAAUGAAGAAAAGAAAUUCAGAAUUCGCACCUGCACAAGCUUUUUGCACAUACUGAAGCUCAAGCCCUCCUUUACUUCUUUGCUGUUAUGCCUUGUCCCACCAAAAUGAGUGGUAGCUAUUGAGCUAUCUGAUAGAGAACCUUCAACAUUAACUUCAAUUUCAAACUUUACAUUCACAUACUCAUCAGUUGUGCUUGGUCUCCUUGUAUCCCAAUAUCUAUCAGUCCUCUCCUGACUUCCGCUCUCAGUAUCAACCCUAAAAGUAACAGAGUCCCUUCCCUCAUUGACAUUCAACAGAUGCCCAAUCAUGUGCAGUAGAACCUGAAAUGCCCUCUUCUGAUCACCCAUCACCUGAUUAGGCAGAACAUUUGGAAUCUCCGUAGAGAAGCCAAAGUGCUUGUAAAGGCACAAGCACUUAACCAAACAAGAUGCUUCUCUUACCAUGGCAUGUAAUUUAAAGGGCAUGAUCUCUAAUGGGAAUCUUCCCUCAUCCUUGUCAGAUAUCUCCAUUGCAUCAUUUAUUAAUGUUGAGAGAACACUGCCGGAUUUUAUUAUAGUGUCAACCACAAUCCUCUGAUCGGGGCUCAAAUUGGCAUCUUGAAACAGAGAUAGUAAGCCCAGAAUUGAGUGCAUAGGCCGCCUCAUUCCGUUGCUCAUUACUUUCUGAAAUGAGUUCCUUGCCUGGCUUGCCAUCAUUGCAUUCUCCUUAGCUUUCUGGAGCACACGAUUUUGCUCUUCCAGUUUCUCUCUCAUUGACUGAGACUCCUCAAGAACUGAAGCAUGGGACAGAGCCACCGCCACCUGAUCAGCAACAACUUCAACUAUCUCCAUCUCAUUAUACAACCGAACCCUGUCAUUUGCACUUUGAAGAACCAAAACCAGUAUGGCGUAUCCAGUGUCAACAACCUCUGGUGUCCCCCCUUUGAAAUUUGAACAUAGAAGCACUGGCAUUCGAAUAGCUGCAACAGCACCUGGCUGACACCCUCCACAACUCGCAGCACCAAGUACUGAGUCUUGCCUCAAAAACAUCACUCCCUCAUUCUUUGUUAUCUCUAAUACAUCUGGUUCAUUAAUCGCAAGGGUGCGGCUAUAUUCUUCUGAAGGACCAGGACUCAACUGAUGGGUCAAAUUCAUCUCUGUUCUAUUCCCAUUAGGCAUCCAAACUGCACAAUUCUGCAGAUCCAAGGACUUUGAAAGCUCAACCAAAGUAGUGUACAAUAUUGUAUGCUUAUCGAGUGACUUCCUAAUUUCUUGGGUAAGCAUCCGGACAUGCCAACUAGCUUCUUUCUGUUUCUUCAUCAUCCCAACCUCUUGGCCUAGCUCCAUCACAUUUUGUGUUAAAAAUAAUUCUCUGACUUUAAAUUUGAGAAUAAUAGGGAUCAGAGUGAUAAGAGUGAUAGCAGUUGCACAAGAUACAAGAGCAGUAAGGAUUUUCGCAACUGUAAGAGCCAUCAUCAACUGGAAGGAGUGCCGACCAUAAUAAGUCCACGCAUUGAGCAAAUGGGUCAAUCCACAGAGGACAAUGAAAGCAAUGAAUUGAAGUAGAACCCAUUUGAAUGGUAUAUUUGAGCAGCUAAUAAAGUAAAGCAACUCGAUAGGAAUUGAAAAGUAAGCCACAGCAAUCAAGAAAUCACUCACUCUCUGGCAUUCUAGAAUGCUAGCUAUGCUCCAACCUCCAACAUCAUCGCAAUGACAAUGGGAAAAUUCGCCAUCAGUGGCUGACACGCUGAAGAUCAUAACUGCAACUAGAAGCCCAAGGACAAAAUCCCUUAAUCUUGAACCCAUAGCAGCCCCUUUUCAAUCCAUCUUUAUGACAAGUUUUCACCCUUUUCAAAAGCUUAAAUCAACUGAAGAUCAAGACAGAGGUGUCCUUGAAAUUAAACCCCAAACCCCAGUCCCAAAUAGCAAUUGCUUUCCUAAUAAACUAUAAUAAAUCAAAUCUCUCCAGCAUUUCUAGAUCUAAUAUGUCUAUGUGUCAAGAUCAAAAUAACCAAGUAAUCUUUGAGAGGUUAUAGCAGCCUCUCUCAGGUAACCAUCUCCUACGCUAUUUUUCAUAAUAUUUAAUUCCCACCUCAGUGUCAAUGCUCAAAUUCAGAAUCUGUAAGAAAGCAUCAAUCUUUUUCAUUAAACACUCCCCGUUUCAAAGGAUGUAGCACGAAAAGCAUAAGAACCAAGACAAUAGAAUGCAGGCCUAAAGAACCGGGAUCAAAAUCCAGUCAAGGCUCCAAUAAAGCUGAAGGGAGUUGCACUUGGUGAAAACAAAAAUGAACCUGAGGGAGUAGGAAACACCUUCUUGCUUGAGAAAUCCAGCAUCAAAUCAACCUUCUACAAGCAACAGCUAAGCCCAAAAAAUUUCUGUAUCGUACCAAUAUUCCACUACCCAAAAAAAUAAUAAUAACAAGACUUCUUUUGCAUGAAGAAAGAAUCACAGCUUGUGAAACCGGUGUUGAUAUUAGCAAACAAAAAAUUGACACCUACCCAAUAGGAUAGGACAUCCCACUUGGACUAAAACGAUUAGAAAACUAAUAAAACCAUUAGUCAAUCAGCAAGAACUGUUCAAAGUAUGACGUUGGAUUGAACCCCACUUGAAAAAUCUGUAGAAACUUUAGCUCACUGGACGCGGGAAGGUCCAGUAAGUGAAUUGACCUGCAUGUAUUCCCUCAGGUUAGCACUACUAGUUUUGGCACUGAAUAUAUUAAAUUAAAUCCAGGAUUUAAUAUGUGCAUAUGAGAGGCGUACUAAGUAAGGUGAAGGCACAAGUGGUGAGAGAUUAAUAUAAAUAAUUUUGUAGAAUAUCCAUACACUUGUGUUUAUUAAUUUAUGGACAAUGGAGGAUCUUCAAAUCUUGAAUUGGGUGUAAAUAAGGAGAGGACGACAGGAAGAUUAUAAAAAAAAAAAAAUUGAGACGCUUGGCAUGCUUUUAUUUACCCCCUUAACUUUUUCAAAAUUUCAGUCAGGACUGGUUGAAAUUUUUUGUUUCUUAAAUUAGACCAACAGACUUUGAUCUUAGGCACCAGCGCCAAGUGCAUGGUUGCAAUUGCCUUGUAUUUAUAAAUGUACCUUUUGUCAAAAGUUUUUAGUUUUUCCUUUGGUGGACUUCUCCAUCUUUUGGUUUUUGAAUUUUGAUUUUCAAUUGGUUGAGAGCUUAAGAAAUAAAAGAACGUACUUAAAUAGUACUAAAAUUCACAGUUCUAUACCUUUUUUUUUUAAAAAAAAAAGAACAAAUUUAUAUUUUUCUCUGUUAAGAUUGGCAUAUGCAAGAUUAAUUAAAUAAUUUCAUAUCCUCUUUACCUUUCUCACUCAUGGACGAUUUUAGGGAAAAAAUAAUCCUUCUCAUUCCCUUCCUUUUCAUGUAUCAAAAUUUUAGUGAUCAGAUAAUUAGUUUAUAAUUUUUAUUUGCCAUCUUAAAGAAUUUGCAAUCAUUUUGAGAAUACAAUGACCAAUUAAUUAGGUCACCGACGACCAAAUUAUAGGCAAAAAAUGUAACUGCAGUUAUUUAGUUUUGCAUAUAGUUAUUUGAAACUUGACUUUUAAGGAUUUACUCAAUAUUGAAUAGUACGCUAAUCAAAUCUAAACUUGAAAAAAGAUGGUUUGUUUGGAUUGAGCAUUAUUUCUCCAAUUUUAUUUGCUUACAUCAUCAUUACAAUUUCCAAUACACCUUUUUAUCUUCCCAAUUACCUUUUCAUCUCACAUACAUCAAGUCACAAAAAGUGCUACAGUAAAAAUAUCCCAAAUAUUUAUCUUGGUCAGCCUAUCAAACUCAAAUCAAUCCUACUUUUGUAGUUUGAUAGUCAAGUUGCGCGAUUUUAGUUAGAUCAUAUUUAUAUAAAAAUCCUAUCUAAGAUAUUAUCGGUAAUUUUGUCAAAAUAAUAUAUCUAAACUAGAACAACAUAAUUUGGAGUCUCGUAUUAGCUUGCCUUGCAUGCAAAUUAAAAGGAAAAAAAGUGACAUUUUAUAUUUCAAUUUUUUUUGUUUCCUUUUUUUCAUAGUUGAACGAAAUUCCUGUCUUGUAUCAUUUGGUAAAAAUUCAAUCAAAUGGUCGUCAUCCCGUGUUUUUCUUACCUAAACACCUUAACUUUCUUUUCCUUCUUUUGAACCAUACCAAACAUAAUUAAACAUGAAUUGGUCUAUAGUAAAGUCGCGUGUAAUUUAAGUUUCACUAAUAUGGGAAAAAAAAAGUUACGGUGUUUCAUGGCAAUUGCACAAUAAUGGGCAAAUGAAAGGCCUUGCCCCUUUGGCCUUUUAGGAGUAUGAAAAAAGAGCGGGCCCUCCUCCCGCAUAUAGAAUGAGUACACGACUGUCUCUGCGUGUACAAGGUGAGGAGAACCUAGACGCAUUCAAUCUCCCCAUCCACGUCACCUCCUUUAUUAAUUUCUUAAAGGUCGAAAAAGGCUAUACCAAACACCAGCCUACCAGCCACCACAUAACUUGGUUCUACAAAAAAAAAAAAAGUGAUUUGUUUCAAAAAAAUUCCAGCCUGCCAGCCACCACAUAACUUGGUUCUACAAAAAAAAAAAAGUGAUUUGUUUCAAAAAAAUUUAUACGAAUGUGUUUUGCAUCCGUUUAGUUCGGUGAUGAUUCAAUUCCCUUCGAAUUAUUUCCGAGUCUCAUAAGGUACGCCCUCUCUAGAAUAGAUUAGAUUAUACAAUAGUUUUCAUGUUCGGAAAAAAAAAAAAAAAAAAAGGGCUAUACCAACUACCCUUCUAGCCCAUGAGACUAUCAACAAUAUCCAAUAGAAUGGCAAAUACUACUGAUAAGAAAUUUAGAAAAGGCCACCCUCAAAAAAUUUUUUUUUUUUUUUUUAAAAUCUACGUGCUUCUCACGUGCUUGUCAGCCUUCUUAGUCAUCCCACCGGCCAUUGCUCACCGUCAAUAAUCAUGGAGGUGGAGCCCUCAUCGUGUGGUGCAAAGCCGAAGGAUGGAGUCAGGCGCAGAAAGUGUUAUGGUGAUGAUGACGGUCUAAUUUUCGUUCUUCAUUCUUGAAUCUUGAUCAUGAAGCAAAACUGAAGGUAGGCAACGCUAGCUAGCACUAGAUGAACUGCCAAGCACCACGUGCCAACCAAGAAACAUCAAUGAAUCUUCCUUCAUCGGGCUUUCGAUAUCGCGAGCUCUAUAUUGAUUUUUAUUACAAAUGAAUCAUUGAUGUAUUCAUUAGUAGUGAUUAAGACUAAUUUUGUGCAUGGUAAUAGUUUCCAAAAGACGAUAGCGUGGAUUCGAUGGAAAAAGAUUGAAGAGUUUAUCUUUAUCUAACGACUGUGUUAAGAUAGAGUUCAAGUGUUAAGUGCAUAUAUAUAUAUAUAUAUGGUGUGUGUAUGUAACUAUGUAUGAUAAGUUACGUGUAAAUAAAGUAAAUGCACGACUGAGUGUUUAGAAAAAUUAAACACUCCUUGAGUUAAUUGGCUUCAAUGCUAGCCGAUAGUGCUAAAUUCAGGUGGUGGCACUGACACAUGUGAUUGUUUGAGCAUAUGAAGCUCUGGAUAAUGGAUGGUAUUUCUUCAUUUGGCUUCAAAAGUGCUUUUGAACUUUCUCAGCUCAGUUGCAUCAAGAUAGUGGACCGGUGCUGAUCGAACUUUCUCAGCUCAGUUGCUAUUGAAUUAGUUCUAAAUUUCUCGGUUCAUCUCAUAUACGUCAAAUUGAUACUACGUAUUUAUUUCGUGGAGUGCGUUUUAGUUCUUUACUUUGAUUAUUUAAUAUAUAGUCAAUUGAACAACGUGGAAGACCAUCAUCAUUUUCAAGACAAAAAAUAUAUAUAUAUAUAUGAAAGAUUUUAUUUUACCAGCCACAUCCUAGGAAAGGGCAAAGCAAUUUGUGUCUGCCAUUCAACUCGGCAGGCUUUAAAUGGGAUGUGGUACUGAUAACAAUAGGCCCCCUGUGAAACGAUGCCUGCCGGCACAACAUGCUUCUGAGAACAGCAUGAGAAAAUCUCUGAAAACUACAGGGGAGCAAAAGAACAUGUAUCAUAUAGAAGUAUAAAGCUUUGCUAUUUGGGGAUUCUGCAAGCCAGGAUUCGCUAACUUUUCUACUGCUUAAAGAAGAGCAUUGAAAGAGAGAGAGAGAGUGCAGGUACAAAACUUCUUAAGGUACAUAAAUACGUGAAAAAGUAUCAGUCACCAAAGAUGAAGAUGUUCGUAACCAUUAGCCUGUACAUUAUCAUUGUCAUACUUAACUAACUCGAGAUGGCACAAAGAGUCUCUACCGUCCCGUCCUAAAAGAAUCUGCCAUACAGAAACAUAUAUGCAAGGACAGCAGUUCUCAAAUAGGUACUCUAAUCUGGGUAGUUGCCAUUUUCUGGAGACUGCUGCACACUCUGACCUGGAUGACCGCUCCAUUCCAUCGCCUGUGAAGGUGCUUGUGUGCUCCGAGGCUGCGGCUGAAUCAUAAAUUGACUGCCACCAAUAUUUUGGUAAGAAGAAUCAAUUGGGGACCAGAAGCUUACACCGGAAAAUGAUGCCCCACCAAUUGGUGACGGCGACUUACCAGCAGAAGUGUCACCUUUCAAACCACCAGUAAUAUCCUUUUUGGGGUCGAUUACAAAUGUCCCAACAAUAAUCUGUUCAAUUAAGAAACUGGUAAGCAGCUGAAUAAAGUACACUCCACUCCAUAUGCUGAAAUGAAGGUAGACGCUGCCUCUGAUAACAGGAAAUAAGGGAUCCAUAAUAAUCAUGCACCAAAUAGAGGCGAUGUGUAAUAAUCCCUUAUUUCAAAUUCUACAUGCUAUUUUAGUUGCUAAGUAUACACAUCUAAACAUAUCAUUCUACGACACGAACAUUUGGUACCUUUUACUACUAAAAGGAAAAGAACAAUUCAGGAGAACAGAAUUAAUCAUAUUUGUCCACCUUUGCAUGUCAUAAAGGAGAAGUUGAGAUCUAAAUGAAACAUCAAAGCGAAAAAAAUAUUAAGGGGUUUAUUAUUUAGGAAUUUUAUUCCAGUGAAGCAGAAGAAUGAAAUUGGAGGCAAAAACAAGAAUCUUAGUAUUCAUUUUGAUUCCCUUAAUAAUCAUCAUCCUAACAUAUGAUUGCACCUUGACCCCAGCAUUCAAAUGUAUAAAGUCAGAGUAAGGACGAAAUGAGAGCUUGUGCUUUAAAAUGAUAAUCCAGAUGUUUAUUAGGUGAUAUUUAUGAGGAAUACAUUCAUUGUCUGACCUACCCAUGCUCUACCACAACUGGGAUAGAAAAUUCACACUGGCAGAUCAAUGUGUGAGGAAGUCAUGCAUGGCAUCAGAUGUUUGGUGGAUAGGCUUGGCUUUUUAGUUAGUUUGAAUCCCAAAGGUGGAUCCAAAAACUGUUAUCAUUCACUAUUCGACAUUUGACAAGAGGGAGGGAAAAAAUGUUGGAGAGGAGAGGGACCGUUGAGAUGGUAUCCCAAGCAAUUUCAUAGAUCGUUCAGGCACCAGAGAAGGAAGAACCCGUGGUGCAUAAAUAUUGAGUGAAGCUACGGGUAACCUUCACCUAAACAUAGUGGGAUCAAUCCCUAGUAGCUUAGUGCUUGAUUCUUAGUAAAGUUAAAACAACAAAGCAAUGAAAUGAAAAGGAGGUUAAUUUGUGUAUAACUUGCCCUAAUUUCAACAGAAACUAGCCACUCAAUUUGUAGAUUUUCAACUAAAAUGAUAUAUAUUUUCCUCUAACUCAAAAUGAUAUUAAACAUUAGACAUCCAUAUAAUUUGUAUAAAAUCCAGAAAAAGUACAAAAAAUGGAAGAUAUUAAGAUUCCAUCUGCGACAAAUAUCAAAAGAAAAGACUUGUCCUCAAAAGGGUAGCCAAUAAUGGGCCUUUACCAACCAUCGGGUUCUUUCAACAAAAAUUUGAAACUAAAAGAUGAUUGACAGCAAUUAGAGCUUAUGUGCAGUCAAGAUAAGAAUACCUGAAUUGGCCCAGCAGCAGUAAGGGGUCCACCAACUCCACCUCCAAUGAUUUGACCAUCAGUACUAGACAGACAUACACUUAGUCCUCCAGUUCUUCCUCCAAGUUCAGUGCGUACAUAAGAUCCACAGAGGGAAAGGAUGUCAAAUCGCCCCUACAUCAAAGCAUGCCACAAUAGAGUUAGAUAUAUAAGGUAAUUAAAAUACAAAGAACCAUAGAAACCUCUAUCCAAAAUGAUCAUCUUCUCCAGCUAUAACAAUUUCAAGUUAGCUAUUUUCAAAACAAGUAGAAAUAAGCUGAGUAAGCAAUCAGAAGGGAAACUCAUGAUGUUCUCCUGAAGUCUUCCCCUAGUUAAACGGUAGUUGCUGCUCAUAACAUAAUUUAGUGGUAUGCAUUCACAAAUCUCUACCUCAUAAGUGAUAUUGCCUCCAGAAGUAGCCGGCUGACGUAGAGAUGCAUUAGAUAUAGAACCAGAUGCUGAGAGAAUGCAUAUUUCACGUUUGCUUUGUUGCAUGAACAACAUUAUUUUCUGACCUACAUCCUGUCAAAUGCAACAAUACACCACUGUGGAACUUCUGAACAAGUAAAACAGCUUGCAAUCUUAUGCAUCUAAACAGCAAUUCCAGGAAAUAAUUUUACAAAAAUAAAUGAGACAACCGUCAAACACAAGAUCAAGCAAUUGAAAGAAAUCAGCUAAAUAAAAUGGGAAGGAGAAGCUAUGAUAUAAGGCUUCUUUAGAAACUCUUGCAUAAAGAUGCCUAAUGUCAGUAGACACUGUUUCUGCUACAAGAUAAUAAGACAAUUGCAAACAUCUCAGCCAGCAGAAGAUGAAACAGGCCCUAAUUGAAUAAUUGAAAUCAAGACGAGAGCAUCCAAGGUCAAGUUUACACAAAUCCCAAGGUUGAUUAAAUGUGGGCUGCCCCCUCUUAAGCAAUAAUUACAACAAUAUCUAAAGAAGCCUCCUUUAACCUUUUUUGUUUUCACUUCGUUUCUUUUUUCCCCUUUUGAGUUAGUACACUGGAUAUUUAGAGAAGAUGGUGGGAAAAGUGAUCAACAUUUUUUAGGGUUACUGGUGAAUCAUUUUUACCAGACUCAAAUGUGUAUAUACACAAACCUGCAGUUCCUAGAGCUCUUAUUCAAAAGUUGUAUAUAGGAAGUUAAUAAGGAUGAGAGAAACAUGACCUUAAUUAGUGUCCUGUGAAAAAAAUUCAGUUAGAACCUGAACAGAUCUAGAUCUGCAAGUUGAAGUUAAUGGUAGUGCUAAUAGCAUGUAUUUAUUUUCUAAACUAAAUGAUGAAUGCAAUUGAGAAAGUGAUUUUACUCUAACUUAACUAAUAAAUGCAAUUGAAAUAGUCAUUUUACGUUCAUCCUGUGCAACGACUAACAUUGUCUAUCCAAAUGCAGUAAUCAUACACCAUAAAUCCAGACACUAAAUAGAAGAUCACUCAAUUACUAACCAGAAACUGGAAACAAAGAGAAACUUAACUUGCAAAGGAUUAUACCUUCUUCUUUAGGAAAAGAUAAAAGAAUAAUGAGGAACCAGUUUUACAGGUCUAGACAACACAAAUCCAACAGGUAUGUUGCACAAUAUAUAAGCAGCAGAGAAUAAUAUUAUUUGUUUAAGUAGGUGAUGGGAAGAGAAAACAUACUUCUCCAGCAGCCACAGUUAUGACAUGAGGUAUAAAAGAUUGACCAGUACUACCUGCAUCAACAGCAGGAAAGCAGGACAAGUGGGUAAGUGGUAAUCAAGUUCUAAUUAAAUUAAUUAAAAAAUGAAGCUUAACCUACAAUGGAGUAGCUAUAAGCAAAUAAAAGAACCAGAGGAAACAAAAUCACAUUUAAACAGCUGAUGAUCAAAGAAGAUAACCACAUACAUACCUAUGUUACAUGGGCUUGGGUGCAGGUGUCAGAUAUGGGUGCGUGUCAAAGUGUCAGAUUCAAAUAUUUGAAAAUUGUAAGAUUCGGGAAUAUGUGUCUAAUUUUGGGUAUGGGUGUGGAUAAGAUCUUUAGAUAUAAAUCAUUCUAAAAUUUAUGCACAAUGAUGUAUCAAGUGUAUUUUAAUAAAAAGUUCAAUUAAAUGUGCAAAAUUAGGUUGAAAAGAACCAUAAGCUUAGUUAGAAAGGUAAAUUUUUUAAAUAUGAGAGGCUGCAUUUAUAUUAAAAAGGGAAAACUUGUAAAGAAAUUAAGUUGUUGAAAAAGAUAAUUAAAGUCAAAAUACAGGGAUUUAGUUGCAAAAUAAAUAUCAUUGUCAAAUCCUAUCUUCCUCAUCGCUCAAUCAGCACUGCCGUCACCUCAUUUACAAAGCGUUCAAGCGAAUCAAAACAGAGCACCUCUUCUCAAAUUAACCAAGACGCUCUUACACUUAUAUGCCAUCAUUACCACAAUUCCACACCCUCCAAUGAAAGAGAGUUAGCAGCCCAUACAUUCGAAGCAAAAAUACAGCAGGUGUCGUGAGUUUUUUCCUUUUCAAUUCUCUAGCAGUUCUCCUCCCCAGAGCCACCCUUCUUCCUCUUCCACUCUCUUCCCAUCUCAUGUCACUUCUUGUCCAUCUCUCCUUCUCCUCCGCCAUCAACAUCACAUCUCACACAUCUCACAAAAGUCAAUGCAUCCAAAAAAUUUUUACCAUAUCAGGUACGGAUUCCGUACCCAUACCCGUGUCAUAUCGUGUCGACACGGGUGCACCUGGGGUGAAUGACGAGUCCGGAUAACAUCGGUACAAACCCUAUGCAGCUAAAAGCAAGAGAGCUGAAUACCACAUCAAAUUUGUGACGCUGAUACCAGUUGUGUAUGGCACCAUGUGAAUGUCUCUUGACAAGAGAAGCUAGAAUGCAAGUGCUCAGUAUUCCUUUUAUAGGAAGAAAACUAGGAAAUCCUACCAAUUUUUCAGAUGAGCGUGAAAAUAUACAGUUUUCAGCUUAUGUACAGAAUUUCCUAUGGACAAUACACCAAAUGAAUUUAUACUAGUAAUCAACUUCAAGCAUCAAGUAAUACAAGAAAUCAACAAAAAGUAUGUUUCCAAAUUAGAACAAAAAUUAUUAUAUCAAUUUUCUACUCAAAUUAGAACAAAAAUUAUGUUUCCAUACUUUUGGUGUCAAUUGAACAGCAGCAUUUAAGACUUCCUCCACAAUAUUUUAAUUCCCACUCGUACCUAGAGAAGCAGCUAAGAAUAGACGGACUGGAAAAUAACAAUAAGUGUGAGAUUACUGCAUCUUUUGAGGAAGAGAUAAUGCCGGCAAUCAGAAUCUCAAACCCCUCUUUCACCUCACACUUAGAUAAAAGUAUUACUACAUCCAACACCCAAUCUGCACAACGCCACCAGUUAUGGGGCCAUUGUAGAAACCCAUAUAAAGACUUUCAAACAUCCUGCAAACUUUGUUCUGCAUCUUUUUAAAUCUAAAACUGAGGGAAUAACAAUGCACUGCAUAAUCUACAGAAACAUCUUUUAUCAACCUACAAUUGAUUAGGUUCCAUCAGAUAUGUAGAGUCCCACUCCUAAGCUCUUUAUCAUGCAUGAAUCAUUCCAAUAAACACUCAGUGAUCUGCCAAAAACAUGUGACCAUUGACCAUUGCAUAAAUUUGCUUUCACUCAGGUCCUCUAACAGUCCUUACUAUACCCACAAGCAAAAUUCAUGUAUAGCAACUCAUGCGGUCCAAAGCCUUAAAAAAAAUGAAAAUAGACACUACAAUAGUUGAUAAAGCAAUUUGGUACAGGUAGUUACAGCAUGUCCCAGCCCAAAUUCCAAGUUUAUCAUAAAUUAGCUAUGGGAAGUAAUGGAGAGAGAGAGAGAGAGAGAGAGGCAAGGGGGGGGGGGGGGGAAGGGAAGGUGGACAAGUCUUGCAGCCACUGCAACAUAGAAUACUACUAUAUACUACCAACGGGUCCUACAAGCAAAAUACAAAUUAAAUACCAGCCAAAAAACACUAUAGUUUUCUAUUACUUCUAGAAUUUAGAAAACUAGACAUAUAAGACAGCCUGCUUGAUUUCUACAGUUCAUAUAUCAAACAGCAGUAAGGCACGAGUUUUGAACAAAUAAUCCACCAAUAAGUGAAGGGUUUCUUCGUCCACAGAGUUCCAAUGCAAUUCCAAAACAAGCACCGAAAGGACAAAUUAAAGGGCCUCGUUAAUUUCCCAAAAUUCAUCUAUAAAAUGCAGUAAAGGUAUAAAUAAUAUAAACCGAAAAAAAAUCACAUAUAUAAAGGGUUCCUUCCCCUUUUGUCUUUUUCUUUCUUCUUUUUUUUUUCUUUAGGAGAUUAUUACCAGAAGCGGCUAACUGGUACUUCUUAGAAGAAGCCGAAGAAGUAGACCCGCCACCGCCACCGCCAAAACCCAAGUCCUUUUUCUUCGGCGGAGAAAUUGAAGCCGCAGUAGAAGCCGAAGAGAGCCGCUUAGCAGCCGCGGCUUCACCAGGGGUCCCAUACUUUCUAGGCCUUCCUCUCUUCCUCUUCCCAGAAUCCAAUCCGGCACCACCAGACGUCACCACGGAGGGGACAGUCCCAUAAACCAACGGCGAAGAAGUUGUAGUGGUGGUGCUGGCAGCGGGAUUAGAAGUAUUCGGCAGAAUUCCAUUGGUGGGAGAGGUGUUUGAUCCCACGGCGGUGGUAGGGGCGGUGGGGUUGAGAGGUGAGGGUGGUGGUGGCUGUUGAGGGUGGUGAAAGUAAGAGCUCAGUUCACUACUUUCAUUAGGGUCCAUGAUAGUGCGUGUAGUGUGUGAGAUUUUGGAUUUGGGAAAUUUUUUAUUUUCUUUUCUUUUUUCCUGAUGAUUUUUGAGGUAUUUGUUUUAUUUUAGGGCUUUAUUGUUUUCGGGAAAUUUGUGCCUUUUGAACCGUUGAUUGUGGGGUUGGUGGUUUUUCUCAGCCGUUGGAUGCCGAGGAAGUUAUUUGACUUUAUCCGGAGACCUUUCUAGGUAUUGGAAUUGGGAUUUGAUAUGUCUACUGUAGAUUUGCCUGACGAUGGGGAUAUGUAUGGAUUUAAUGUGGAUAAACACGUUUAAAUCUUUUUCUUUUUCUUUUUCUUAUAUAUAUAUUUUAAGCUAAAGUUUGAGACCUUCUUAUUAGUUUGGGGAACAAGAAAACAAAAAAGAUUAGCCUGACAAGUUCGAAGUUUUUUUUUCCCUCAAAAGUAAAUAUUAGGUAUUUCAUUAUGUUCUCGAAUUGAUAAACUAUAUUAUAUAUAUACCUUACACGUAAGAACUUUGAUUAUCCAUGUGUCCAGUCACCAACCAGCUUUGAAAUUGUUUGUUUAUUUGGAAGAAAAAUAUUAUUUUGAGGAUGAAAGCGACAGAAACCUUCAAUAGUUAGGGAUUAAUUUUUGUUUUCUAAAUUUUUUCAAAUGAUGAUAGAUAAGAUGUUUAGUUAAAAACAUAUAGAAUUCAAAGGUCGAGACAAGUCCAAUUGAUUCCUUUCUAAAUUUUCAUAAGAUUACUACAAAAUCACUCGACUUUGAGGUGUCAAUAUAUCACUCUGUUCUUCGGACGGUAUGCAUAUUUGUGCCGAUUCUAGGAAUCUUUAUUCACAUUAGAAAAAGCAAGCAGUAAUUUGUGCAGACGAGAUAAGUAUUACCCCCUUAAUUUAACAAAAAAUUACCGCAAUUGAACUGUCAAAUUCCACGAAUUAUCAAAGAAGUUAACUUCCUUUCAUUCACUAACAGUUGCUUAUUCAUUUGUCUGUCCAAAUGGAGACUCCAAAAGUAACUUCAAAUUGCUCAAAGGAAAGAAUGGCAUCAAUCUUGCUUAGACAGAUACAAGGAGGGAUAAAGUCAUGUGAAUUAGUAGUAGAUGGCAAUCAUAAGGAUCCAACAUGGGACAGGAUACAAUUUCAAGUGGGAAAUGGGGCAGGGACGUCCCUUCACCGUUAAUGGUCCUGAUUUGGUCUCAAAAAUUUGUGCGGCUGAGAUUACAAGUUGUAACUCGAUUUUCACGUCACGUGUGGGUCCCAUAAAAAUUUGCUUUAAAGUUACGCAAUGUGCACAAAAAGUUACAUAAUGUACAAAGAAAAUUACGCGCAGUUGAUAAUGACCAAAACCGCCGGGGAUUUGUAAAAGUGGUAUUUGUAAAAGUGCCCCGAGUCCUUUCAAGUGGUAUUUGUAAAAGCCACAGUGGUCCAUCUGUAUUGGAAUUCGUCAUUACGCGAGGCUGAUUAUAAACGUUAUUAGCCAGCCUCGAAUCUAUUUCAGACACGUCAAGUUUUCCCCUGUGCCAAUUGAUUUGAUUGUCAUCAAAUUCUCAUUCAAAACCCUUUUUUUUUUUUCCCCAACCUAAUCCAUCCUAAAACGUAGAGGAAGAGGAAUUUAAAGAGGCUAUGGAUGAUAUGAAAACUUGUCUAAAUCAAAGAAAUAUUCUGACACCUUUUUAAUUUCUCAAAACUUGUGGGCGCCCCUUUAUGUCUCUUGUCAGCACGGUAAUCCUCCCCUAAUCAUUGCUAAAAUACUUUAAUUCUUACGUUACCCCGAAGGUGCGAGCAACCGUACUGUUGAUAAUGGUUUGGGUGGUUGAAGGCUCAUCAUCUUCCAUGGACUAUCAUGGCCGUUGAGUACCAAGUGUAGGUCAAUCGAAUGAAACGCAACACCACAGAAGCCAUGAGCUGAUGGUUUCAACUCAGCAAAAGUGGCCUCUGAUGGUGACUAUUGAACUCUUUAAGGGAAGACGCUUCUUGUCGCGAAAUUUUUUGAAGCAUAAUUAAUACAGGGUUCAAGAAUCGGAAGGAGGACUGAUCUCCGGUAAGCCUCAGGAGUGCAGUGCUGGAGAAGUGGUAUAGACAAAAUUGAUGGACCGAGUCAAGGUGAUACAUGUCAGUAGCUUUGCUUGCCAUAUUUCCAGUUAGCAGACAAACCGAUGCAGCAAUGAUCUCUCACAGAUCACAGUAGAUAAGAGAUGAAUAAAAUAGAACUAAGAAACCGGCAUACACAUCACACUGUUUUACGAAAUAGAUCCAUUACAGAUACAUGUACACUCCUCACAAACUGUUAAAUUUUGUUGCACUUUCUCAAGUAUCUUCUUUUGAAACUCCCUCCUCAAUCAUCUGUUUGGAAGAGCCCUCUGCAUGUGAGUUCUUCAAUUCUUCCAGCU
RNAcentral lists this long non-coding RNA (19556 nucleotides) under Coffea arabica (coffee). RNAcentral describes it as "long non-coding RNA (CARA_LNC000931)". The record is from RNAcentral. Lineage: Eukaryota; Viridiplantae; Streptophyta; Magnoliopsida; Gentianales; Rubiaceae.